CUUGUGACUCCCAGUCAGUUUUAUCUUUCCCUCUGGACGGAAAGCGGAAAUGGAAUAAUGAAGUCUUCUGGGAGCUGUAGUGCUUUCUUCUCUUCUGAGAAGGGUACCCGGAACUGUCAACAAUCUGUGGAACUGGAGCAUUAACGCUUUAACUCCCAGUGCACUAUACGAUGUUAUGUUGUAGAAUACCAAUAACAAAAAUCAUAAAGCCAUGACACAUCCUGGAGGCUUCUCCACUCCAAACUGAAUGAGUCCAGCUCUAUCAACCCUUCUUAGAAGAAGUGCUCUUGUCUUGCUCAAAAAGUUUCUAUUCAAUUGUUCUGAAUUAGGCAGUUGCCUUCUUGCAGGUUGAUUGAAUUCUGUUUGACAAUUUGUCCCGUGCUAGAUAUGUAAAUGAAACGAUCUUCUGACCGAUUUAAAUUCCCUAUGAUAUAGCAAAGUAGCUAAUUAAAGAAACAUCAGUUUUCUAGUGCUCUGAUCAAUCUUCAUACCUGUAAAAUACAUAUUGCCUGGCUUUGUUGACUUCCUAUGCAAAUGCAAAUCUCAUUAGAGCCAGUGGAGCAGCAAAAAUGAGGUUACUUCUUUCUUAAAUUCAGACCUGAAGUCUAGGAAAAUCACUAUGAACUGCUACCCUGAAGCUUCAUAAAAGCCUGAUUCCUUAGAUCUGGUGGCAGAUAUGUGCGAAUGUACUCAUUACAAAUAUAGGAACUAGAAUUCAUCAUUUGGGUAUUACGAGGGGUAAAAGCUGGUGUUGGAUAUGGGUUUCUGUAUUAAAAAAGAAGAAAAAAUCUUUAAUGUGCUUAAUUUUCUGUGCAGCAACAUGCAAUUAAUAAAAUAUUCUCAAACAGAUUGUAUACUGUCAGGAGAAAAGGAAUAACAGAAAACGGGUCACAGAGCAGAACUUAAGAAAGGGAGGAAAAAUUGGAUACUGGAACAAAUCCUUGGGAGUUGUUCUGAGUUAAGCAUGUCAUGUUGUCUUUUAACUAGGUUUGCCAAGCCCCAUUUUCUGAGGCUCUCCAAAGUUACCAACAUUCAGAAUAUAAGACACUGUGUUUAAAACAAACAAACACAUUUUAUUCCUUAGUGCUUCUCCCGAUACACAGCCAGAAAAUUUAACUGUGCUUAAGAAGGUGCUUAAGCAUGAAUACAAAUUAUCUGUGUAUCUAUCUGUGACAGGUAACUCAGUAAAAAGCAGAUUUUACACAGGCCCAUUGAAAUUCCAAGUUCUUAGCUGGUGGGAAGGUAGGGCAAUUUGCUGUUGUGUGUUGCUUGGGGGAUACAGUUGACUGAAACACGACUCCUUACAUGACCAAGACUGGACUAAUAGGUCUGCUUGUUUCUCAUCCUAACAAAGACAUAGUAAGUAGCUACAUGCAUUUCAUCUAGGAUAGAGUUAACUAGUUAACUUUCUUCCUAGUAGCCCACAUGGUGCAUGUCAUGUACUUAGGAUGAGAAUAAAGUUGAUAGCAAACUAAUGUUUUAAUUGUUACUGAGCAGUGUUUAAAGUGAGUGCUUAGGGACUGAUAUCAAUUGUUGGGUGGUGAGCAAUUUAAUUCAGCAUCAAUUGUAUAUUCUUUCAUCCUUUUCGUUAUUAUUAUCAUUCCUUCAUAUCAUUGUCCUAUUAUACUGUUUCUGUAUUUUUCUCAGUCUCACAAGAAGAGAGUGAAUGGCUAUAUGGUACUGAGGUGCCUACUGCUUUACAGCAACAGCAAAGAAAAAAAUACUAGUACAGAAGAAGAAUAAUUUGUUGCCGUUGCAUUAUUACCAAAGAAAAAAUAAGUGAACAAAGCAAGAAAAAUUUGAGUGGAAAUAAUAUGAUUACUGAUUGAUACUGAUACUGAUUCUUGUAAAAUAAGACUGUGUUAUGACUUACUAAAAGGACAUACAAGCCUGUCCGAAGAUUAGAAAGUCAUUUUUUCAAUGUGAGGGUGCCUGAGGAUGUGAUGAAUUAAUUGCCCAGAGCGACUGUGCAGACUUCCACCUUGGCAAUAGUCUAAAGCAUGUCCCCCACCAGCUGCUCCCUUGCUCAUGUGCACAGCAGCUCCAUGCAGAGGCAGGAGUUCCUCACCCCUUUCUUCCCCUCAGGGCCCAGCUCCAAGUGGAAGCCAUGUCCUGGGAGUGCCUUCAGGGGCACAAGCAUGUGGAAGACAUUCUAACUCCCUUCAAGACUGCUGCCUUCAAAGCCAAUGCCCACCCCAAUGGCUGGCUGCAGCUGUGGUGUGAAGUAACUGUGGGGAACUGUCUGACAGGUGCUCAGAAGUUCAUCCAUCAGCUCCUCCAACACCUUGCACAUGGCUGGCCUGGUCUUCAGUGGCCAAAUGGAGAAGAGCAGGUAAAACUUGCUCCUGUAUGUGAUGUCACUGAGGUCUCCGUCGUGCACCAGCUCCUUGUUCUCCCUGUCAAGGUUUCUCCAUAUUUCAUAUAUAAAUUAGGCUCAUUUCAUAUAUAAAUGAGGCUCAUUGGAGCCUCAUUUUCUCUUGCCUUUCCCUGUACCACUGGAGGAAGAACUGAAAGAGCAGCAGUGCAGCCAAGGACCAAAUUGUCCAGGACAGCUGUGCAGCGAAGGGCAAGGGUCACAUGUCUGUCCUGCUCUGCUCCAUCCUGUUCUGCUCUACCUCCUGCAGCAGCUUUGUCAUCUGCUCUGGCAGAUACACCUCACGCUGCUGCAUGCAGUCGAGCAUGACUGCAUCCAACCAGUUGCCAACACAUUUCGGUCUCUGUGCCAACAAGGUGAAGACAAACACCAAAGCCAUGAUCUGGAAGAGGUGAGAGAGUGGAGGUGAGUGGGGCUGGGUGGGAGGUUGCGCGUGGCUGGGGGAGCGGGGCCAGGAGCCACAGCCCCUGGGGUCAGGUAGGAGCGGGGGCGAGGGAGCUGGGAGGCAGCAGGGGCUGAGGCCACGCUGGUGGUGACUGCCCAGAGAGCCGCUCACAGGGUCCCCUGGGCGCUGGGCCAUCACUGCAGGCUCCCAAACCCCUUGCGGGCUGGUGUUUGCACCUGGCCCAGCCCAGCCUUCCCCCUGCUGCUGCACUCACGGAUGGCCAGAGCCAAAAUGGAGCAGCGCUGUGUGCUGAUGGCCCCAAUACCAGCCCCAUAAUCUCCAUGCCACUUUUAUAAGGAGUGUUGGCCUAACAGCAGCUUUGGAGCAGAACUGUUGCACUCAAAACUGCGUUUUGGUCAUCUCCAUUGGAAAUCCUUGAUUAUAUAGAGGCAAAGACUUGGUAGCUGUUCAACAAUCAUCACAUCAAAACAACUGGGAUUUUCAGAGUGCUUUAGAAGACCUUACUUUUUACCGUUUGCAGGGAGAUGUUUGCAGAAUGCAGACAGUUCUUCCAUGCUGUGCGAAGCUACUAGAGCUCUUCUCAAUCUUGUAAUGUCUGGAAACCCAAGAUAAAAUGGAGAUUGGAUGUUUCUCUGUAUCUUCCACACCAGCUGUUUUCUGUUUGUGUCCAAAUUUUCUCAUCGCUGAAAUUUGUUUUUCAAUAAAUGGCCACAACAACAUUAACAGUGCAUUGUGCAGUAGACUUUGUGUGUUCAGACAGCUGAGGCUCAUCAGGGUUUUGGUAUAUGAGAGCAAGAAACAAGGUAUUUGAGUGAGAUCUUCCAUGUUAUUUUUUUCAUUUGAAUGCAUCCAUAAUAUUCUCUUAGUUGUGAGCAUCCCUCCAUAUUCAAAGAGCAAGCUCAGAUCUACACUUCCCUCUCAGGCUUGUCUCUCCAAGCUCCACUGAUCAAGGAUGAGGAUGGUAGGUAGUGUGGGGAACAAGGAAGAACGUCUGUAGCCGAGUGGGUUCAUGAAGACAGUGCAAACUGCUUAUCCUUGUACAUCCCAACAGGUUUGUACCACAAAAUCAGUCUUGCCAGUAACCCACACUGAAGCACUUUCAUCAAAGUAACUGAUUUCCACUCCAGGAUGCUCCAGGUUUUCAGGGCUCUUCAGUCAUUUCCCUUCACAAGUUGUUUACCCUUUUUCAACCUGUUAUCAGAGAGGGUUAUUCUGGACUGAAUUUUCUCUUACUGUGUUUUCUAAGAAUCCUCAACUGCUGACAGCUCCGGUCACAGCAGCCUGAUCACGUGCCUGAAGGACUAAGUCAUUGUGCAGCUCUGUGGCCUCCUUGCACUGGCUAUAACCUCGGCCUCUGCCUCCUGGCUGCUCAGGCAGAUAUUCUCAAAAUCUUGCUGCAGCCCAAGCUGCCUCUGUGAGGACAGUUCUCCUGAAGGCAUCCAUCACCUGGAGCUCGUCCUCAGAGCACUGCAGGAAGCACAGCAUGUGUCCCACUAGUAGCUCCCUUGUGCACAUGCACACGCACUGCAGCUCCACAGAGCAGCAGCAGAUCCUUGUUGGCAUCUCCACAGGUGAGAGAAGGGGAUUCCAUUUGCACAGCUCCAGCAACCUCACAAAGAAGCUAUAUGGGAGCUGGAGCCGUGACCAUGGGGCCUACCGCUGCCCCUGGGGCACCGCGGCCGCAUCUCCGUGGGGCCGACCGCUUUGUUUCUGAGGAGCCCUGGGCACGGCCUUAGCGCUCGGCCACACCGCCCCGUCGUGCCUGGAGAUCAGCGUUGCAUCCAGGCCGGGGGCAGUGACUCUGCUGGGGGAAAGAAGGGCUGGAUGGCGGGGAGCAGUGUACGUGACAGACCGCAACGGCUGUUGGUGGGACAGCAGUGUACGUGACAGACCCUAACGGCUGUCGGUGGGACAGCAACGUACCUGACAGAACCCAGCGGCUGUCGGUGGAACAGCAGUGUACCUGACGGAUCCUGUGGCUGUCGGUGGGUCAGUAAUGUGCCUGACAGAACCCAGCGGCUGUCGGUGAGCCAGCAAUGUACCUGACAGACCCUAACGGCUGUCACUGGGACAGCAGUGUACCUGACAGAAACGAAUGGCUUCUCCACCUGGGAUCCCACGGGCCCUGUAGGCCCCAGCCACUGGCCUGUGGGCAGCUGAUGAGAGUGCUGUGUGCCCUGAUGCAGGUAGGCCCAAAGGCCAGGCUGGAGGAGCAGCGUUCCCUUGGAGCGCCGGCAGGAGCUGGUGCAGCUCAGGAUCAGCUGCAGGGCAUGUCACAGGGCUGGGUUGGAUCCAGAGGCAUUUUUUUCCUUUGAAGAUUCUGGAUCUUGUUGAAUAGUGUUGGAUUGGUGUAGGCACACCACAGCAAGCUGUAACUCUGUGGUGCUGCUAGGGUCAGGGCACACUUUUUUAAAGCUUUCUGUCUGCUUCCAUACUUGUUCACGAGUGAGUUCCAGACCUGCUGGAGGUGACAAUCGUGACUGAUAGCUGCCCAGAGCCUCCCGCACGCCUUGCCUCCCAAAGCCAUCCUGCCCCACUGGAGAUCUUUGGGUGCCUUUUUUUAAACAGUUUCUUAACCAUGAUUAAAACCUGAAACACAUGCAGAAGACAGUGUCAGGUGGCAAACAGGGUGUCGGUCAUUUUGUAGCCACCUUCCAGAACAGGGACAUGGAGCUGCAGACGUUCAUGGUGGAAGCUAUUGUGCCAUGCAUGCCUGGCUGUUUUGCAAAGAAGUACGUCUCUGCUGCAGUGCAUCUCUGUGGCCUCCUUGUGUCACUGAUGACGACGUUCUCUGCCUACUCAAAGGUCAUGAACGUGUCUGGGUCCUCUUGCUGUACCCCAAGCAUGAGCUCAAUCGAGAGGACUCUGCUGGAGGUGGCAGUCAGCUUGAGCUUGCAGAAGCAGGUGGAGAGCAGCAACUCGAGCUCUGUUAUUGCCAAUUGAGGCAUAGCCACCUAAGCUUCUCUCACCAGUUCCUGGAACCAGGUUGCAGUUUUUGCUAUAUCCAGGUAGGAAUCUGUGCAGAGGGUUUGUAGGAGGCUGGGCAUCUGCUUUGUCCUCAGCUGGUCCUCAGGGUGGUGGAGGAAGCACAGCAUGACCCCCACCAGCUGCUCCCUUGUGCACGUGCACUACAGCUCUACGCAGAGGCACGAGUUCCUCACCUCUUUCUUCCCCUUGGGGCCCAGCUCCAAGUGGAAGCCAUGUCCCAGGGGUGCCUUCAGGGGCACGAGCAUGCGGUAGACAGGACUGCUACCUUCAAGGCCAACGCCCACCCCAAUGGCUGGCUGCAGCCAUGGCAUGAAGUAACUGUGGGGAACUGUCUGACAGGUGCUCAGAAGUUCAUCCAUCAGCUCCUCCAGCAUCUUGCACGUGGCUUGCCUGGUCUUCAGUGGCCAAAAGGAGAACUGCAGGUAAAACCUGCUCCUUUAUGUAAUGACAUUGAGGUCUCCGUCGUGCAGCAGCACCUCAUUCUCCUUGUCAAGGUUUCUCCACAUCUCACAUAUACGUUGGAGCCUCCUUUUCUCUUGCCUUUCCCUGUACCACUGGAGGACGAGCCGGAAGAGCAGGAAAAGCAGCAGUGCAGCUAAGGACCAAAUUGUCCUGGACAGCUGUGCAGAGAAGUGCAAGGGUCACAUCCUAUUCUGCUGUACCUCCUGCAGCAGCUUUGUCAUCUGCUCUUGCAGAUACACCUCACACUGCUGCAUGUGGUCAAGUGUGGCCGCAUCCAGCUCAUCACCAACACAUGGCACUCUCUGUGCCAACAAGGUGAAGACAAACACCAAAGCCAUGAUCUGGAAGAGGUGAGAGAGUGGAGUUAGAAGAUGACCAAAGAUAACACCGUGAGUUCAAUAAACUUCAGAAUCCUGAAGAAGUUAGAAUCUUUCAACUCUGUUCAGGUGACAUCUAGAAGCUGGUUUGUCUGAGUAGAUACUGGAGUAGACCUCUGAUGAAGGCCACAGCAGAACUGAGAAGCAGUUUCCUGAUCCAUCUCUGAGACAAAACAAGAUUAUUGUCACUUGGGUGAUUGACCUUCUGCUUUAUGGCUAGCCACUGACUGUGAACACAGAGAAUCUUCUUUAGAGGUGUCUCCAGGCAGAAGAGCUCCAUAAGGAGAACAGAUGCCCCCCCUGCUGCAGAAAUGGGCAUCUAGAAGAGAUGGAAGCCAGAGAUGGACCCCAAAUACCUUUCUUUGGCAGAAGGCACUGCUCAGCUGUUUACGUCCAUUGGAAGAGCUCCCUGUGGUCUGCAGAGAUAACCAGCAAGCAGUAAGAUCAGCGCUUAGGACCAAUGUGUGGCAAGCAUCCUUCAAAAGCUAAGCCAUUUAAGAUCAUCACUUUUAGGGACUAAGUCUGGCACUGGAUGUCAAGGAAGAGAAUGUGGAGUGACUAAGUAAACACAUGAACUGCUAGGAUGGCAGCAGAAAGGCACUAUAUUGGCCUUUGACAUGGAAAGGUGGACAUUUGAUUAUAUCCAGCUUGCAGUUCUUGCCAGCAGUGCAAGGGCCGGAAGAAGAACUAGUGUGGAAGAAGUAUUCACCAAUGGAAGAAUGAGGCACUAUUGCUUUUUGGAUAUCUGCUGAAUGACAGAUUCAAGAAGCAGUCUGGCUCAAGAUCCAGUCUUUUGUUUUACAAGGAGCUCCAUUACUGGAUCUCUUAAGGCUCGCAGUCUACAUAUAAGUUUACUUCUUGAAGAGUGUCUGGGAACUGCUGAGUCAUGGCCUGAACCACUGAUUUAGCACCUGGUGGAAAGACACAGUCAGCCCUGGGAGCACAGGUGAAGGCAAUUCAUCUGACAGGAAGGCCUGGCUCCACCCCUCUUAGGCCUCAUUUAAGGGCUCUUAGGCCUCAUUUAGGGCCUGACUGCCACUGAGGAAGGAUCUCUUUCAAGUGAUUCGUCCUUGGUAGAGCUUUUCCCUGCUAAUCGAGAUCUUUGGAGAUAGAAGAAGCUGCAGCAAUAAUACAUAACAUCAGAAAGGAGAAACUCCACGGAACAUCAAUAGAACAUUACUCAGGCUUUUUUUUAAGAGAACCAGAAGACUGAUGACUCUGUGCUGAUGUAGAAUUGAGUUACAAUCACUGAUAUCAAUCAUUUCCACACCAAGGCAUGAAGUACCUAUAACCACAGGGAAGACAGAGAGGUGAGCACCUGCACACACUCAUUCGGCAGAUUUAUUUCA
Numida meleagris (helmeted guineafowl) is the source of this 7956-nucleotide long non-coding RNA. RefSeq lists it as uncharacterized. The transcript has 10 exons. Lineage: Eukaryota; Metazoa; Chordata; Aves; Galliformes; Numididae. The record is from RefSeq and is a predicted model, not a curated record.